RNAcentral lists this ribosomal RNA (253 nucleotides) under uncultured bacterium. RNAcentral's name for it is "partial 16S ribosomal RNA". It matches the Rfam family "Bacterial small subunit ribosomal RNA", at positions 524 to 776 of the family's 1533-position model. The record is from RNAcentral.
UACGGAGGGUCCAAGCGUUAUUCGGAAUUACUGGGCGUAAAGCGCAUGUAGGCGGUUUCUUAAGUCAGAUGUGAAAGCCCUGGACUCAAUCCAGGAAGUGCAUUUGAUACUGGGAGACUAGAGUGCAGGAGAGGAAAGCGGAAUUCCAGGUGUAGAGGUGAAAUGCGCAGAUAUCUGGAGGAACAACAGAGGCGAAGGCGGCUUUCUGGACUGCAACUGACACUGAGAUGCGAAAGCGUGGGGAGCAAACAGG